UGCCAGCCGCCGCGGUAAUACGAAGGGGGCUAGCGUUGUUCGGAAUUACUGGGCGUAAAGCGCGUGUAGGCGGUUCGUUAAGUCUGAUGUGAAAGCCCGGGGCUCAACCCCGGAAGUGCAUUGGAAACUGGCGAACUUGAGUACGGGAGAGGAAAGUGGAACUCCAGGUGUAGCGGUGAAAUGCGUAGAUAUCUGGAGGAACGCCGGUGGCGAAGGCGACUUGCUGGUCCGCAACUGACGCUGAGACGCGAAAGCUAGGGGAGCGAACGGGAUUAGAUA
Molecule: ribosomal RNA, 279 nt
Filed under: uncultured bacterium
Lineage: Bacteria
Description: partial 16S ribosomal RNA
Rfam family: Bacterial small subunit ribosomal RNA
Source: RNAcentral